UCAACACAAAUAUGUUUGCUUCAGCUCCACUGCUGCUGCUGGCUCUUGCCCCCUAUGUGUUCUGUGCUACUGAGCUCAUCCAGCCAGACUCACUGCUUAUAAAGCCAGGAGAGACUUUAACCAUCACCUGUAAAGUGUCUGGAGCUUCUAUCACUGAUAGCAGCAGCCACUUUGGAACAGCUUGGAUUCGACAACCUGCAGGAAAAGCUUUAGAAUGGAUCAAUUUAAUUGACUACGAUGGAGAUAUUGCUAAGAAAGAUUCACUUAAAGACAAGUUUGUGGUCUCUCGAGACACUUCCAGUAACUCCGUGACCUUACGGGGACAGAACAUGCAGACUGAAGACACAGCUGUGUAUUACUGCGCUCGUGUAACACACAGUGACACAACAAGCUGCAGUGCUGCACAAAAACCUCAUCACAAUUCACUUCUUUAAUUAAAUAACAACUACAUUUUACUGAGUAAUUAAUCCCCAUACAGUAUUACAAAUAUUUCAGCAUAGACACCAACACUGGUAUUAAUAAGAUAAAUAAAUAAAAGUUUGUUACGUUAACUUUACAAUCUAUACGAAAAAUUAAUACAAAUCCCAUGAAAUUAAAUGUGAAAUGUGAACAUUGUAUAAUUUGAUCAUUGAUUUCUGGUAAUGUACAAAUUAAAAGGAAAAAAACAAACACAAAGUUUUUUGAU
This is a non-coding RNA of Tachysurus fulvidraco (yellow catfish), 685 nucleotides long. The record is from the annotation of a RefSeq genome assembly. NCBI's taxonomy places the organism in Eukaryota, Metazoa, Chordata, Actinopteri, Siluriformes, Bagridae.